RNAcentral lists this unclassified non-coding RNA (293 nucleotides) under Callicarpa longifolia. RNAcentral's name for it is "partial external transcribed spacer". Lineage: Eukaryota; Viridiplantae; Streptophyta; Magnoliopsida; Lamiales; Lamiaceae. The record is from RNAcentral.
AGCGACACAUCGCAUCCGCGCCUCUUCAGUUGUUGGCUCAAGCGCUCGUUGGCCUUGGCCGACRUCGGUUUCCUGUGUUGAAUACCUAUCGCGAAGGCAUUUUGUCGGCUACGUUGUCCCUUUUCCGCCUCGCACUGCUGCGUCUGUCGGCGUUGUGGUGCGGGGUGGACCUCAAAGCGUGCGCCGUGUUCCGCAUCCCGUGCACUUCAAUACGGGUGCUCGGGUUGUCRGCCCACRGCGCACUGCUCGGUCCCUCGGAUGCRGAACACCGAGUGGGUACGAGGCCCUCGGCC